This 85-nucleotide transfer RNA is filed under the name Felis catus (domestic cat). It matches the Rfam family "tRNA". Rfam says of the family: Transfer RNA (tRNA) molecules are approximately 80 nucleotides in length. Their secondary structure includes four short double-helical elements and three loops (D, anti-codon, and T loops). Further hydrogen bonds mediate the characteristic L-shaped molecular structure. tRNAs have two regions of fundamental functional importance: the anti-codon, which is responsible for specific mRNA codon recognition, and the 3' end, to which the tRNAs corresponding amino acid is attached (by aminoacyl-tRNA synthetases). tRNAs cope with the degeneracy of the genetic code in two manners: having more than one tRNA (with a specific anti-codon) for a particular amino acid; and 'wobble' base-pairing, i.e. permitting non-standard base-pairing at the 3rd anti-codon position. Lineage: Eukaryota; Metazoa; Chordata; Mammalia; Carnivora; Felidae. The record is from Rfam by way of RNAcentral.
GCCUGGGUGGCUCAGUCGGUUAAGCGGCCGACUUCAGCUCAGGUCACGAUCUCGCGGUCCGUGAGUUCGAGCCCCGCCUCAGGCU